GCACUUCGGGAUAAGCCUGGGAAACUGGGUCUAAUACCGAAUAGGACCAUUUAGCGCAUGCUUUAUGGUGGAAAGCUUUUGCGGUGUGGGAUGGGCCCGCGGCCUAUCAGCUUGUUGGUGGGGUGACGGCCUACCAAGGCGACGACGGGUAGCCGGCCUGAGAGGGUGUCCGGCCACACUGGGACUGAGAUACGGCCCAGACUCCUACGGGAGGCAGCAGUGGGGAAUAUUGCACAAUGGGCGCAAGCCUGAUGCAGCGACGCCGCGUGGGUGAUGACGGCCUUCGGGUUGUAAACCUCUCUCAGCAGGGACGAAGCGCAAGUGACGGUACCUGCAGAAGAAGCACCGGCCAACUACGUGCCAGCAGCCGCGGUAAUACGUAGGGUGCGAGCGUUGUCCGGAAUUACUGGGCGUAAGGAGCUCGUAGGUGGUUUGUCGCGUUGUUCGUGAAAUCUCACGGCUUAACUAUGAGCGUGCGGGCGAUACGGGCAGACUGGAGUACUGCAGGGGAGACUGGAAUUCCUGGUGUAGCGGUGGAAUGCGCAGAUAUCAGGAGGAACACCGGUGGCGAAGGCGGGUCUCUGGGCAGUAACUGACGCUGAGGAGCGAAAGCGUGGGGAGCGAACAGGAUUAGAUACCCUGGUAGUCCACGCCGUAAACGGUGGGUACUAGGUGUGGGUUUCCUU
RNAcentral lists this ribosomal RNA (686 nucleotides) under uncultured Mycobacterium sp. RNAcentral's name for it is "bacterial SSU rRNA". It matches the Rfam family "Bacterial small subunit ribosomal RNA", at positions 133 to 833 of the family's 1533-position model. The record is from RNAcentral. Lineage: Bacteria; Bacillati; Actinomycetota; Actinomycetes; Mycobacteriales; Mycobacteriaceae.